GGGCCCGCACAAGCAGUGGAGUAUGUGGUUUAAUUCGAAGCAACGCGAAGAACCUUACCAGGGUUUGACAUCCCUCGAAUAAUGCAGAAAUGUAUUAGUCCUACGGGACGAGGAGACAGGUGGUGCAUGGUUGUCGUCAGCUCGUGUCGUGAGAUGUUGGGUUAAGUCCCGCAACGAGCGCAACCCUUGUUGUUAGUUGCCAUCAAGUAAUGUUGGGCACUCUAACGAGACUGCCGGUGAUAAAUCGGAGGAAGGUGGGGACGACGUCAAAUCAUCAUGCCCCUUAUAUCCUGGGCUACACACGUACUACAAUGGCUACUACAGAGGGAAGCGAAGCCGUGAGGCGGAGCGAAUCUCAAAAAAGUAGUCUCAGUUCGGAUUGUAGGCUGCAACUCGCCUACAUGAAGUCGGAAUUGCUAGUAAUGGCAGGUCAUCAUACUGCCGUGAAUACGUUCCCGGGCCUU
This 464-nucleotide ribosomal RNA is filed under the name uncultured bacterium. RNAcentral describes it as "bacterial SSU rRNA". It matches the Rfam family "Bacterial small subunit ribosomal RNA", at positions 917 to 1382 of the family's 1533-position model. The record is from RNAcentral.